CUUGAAUCACAGGAUGAUUGUCAAAUAAUUGCAGCUGAAUUGCAGACAAGUCAUGGAAAAUUGCAGAUAACUAAAUGGCAUGGCUCGGACAAUGCCAGCCAGUCCUGUUCUCCACUCGCAUCUGACGCUUACUGUGUUUCUGGAUUUUGAGGUUCUUUGACCAAGUGGGGUAGCAACACCUCAUUCCCAUUAUGAAAAAGGCUUUGCUCUAAGGAUCUGGAAAAGAAAGCUGAUGUUGAUGAAUAUGAAGUGGCAGAAAAUCUCAUCACAAUUCAAACAACAGCAGUUCAUAUAUCCCUAUUCUUCCAGGGUAAUAGAUUCCAGAAUAACUGAAGGAAAUCAGAUCUACUUCUAAACGUAAGGGUACAUACCCAAGUUGGCCUUAAUGAACAGCAGAGGAACUGCGGCAGGGCAGGAAAGACACUUUGGACCAGAAAACAGGAAAGAACAGAUGGAGGCAACUGAAGCAAGCUUCGCCAUCAUGCCUGCCAUUCCCACCAUCUCCUGGGACCCCAAGCCUUCAUCAUCCUAAUUCUGAGAGAUGCCCUGAUCAGACCAGAGCAGAAAGUGAGACCCAGAUAACAUCACCACCUCUACCAGCUCCAGAUGAAUCCCAACACCACAUGGAAUAAAAUGGGAUCGGAUUUUAACAACGAGAGUAACAGCUCUAAUCCAUCUCAACUAACUUCUCUUUUCCCCAAAAGAAUCGAUUAGUCUUCAGAGUAGAAGCAGCACAGAACAUGUAAACAUUUGCAGCAGAGAUGCUACUGCCGCUGCCAAAGUAUUAUCUACAAAAGAAAAGACCCCCACAACCCACUCACUCAGAAUAUACAAGAUGAGAUUUCAUAAUCAAUUCAAUUAAGAAAUGACUACUAAUGAUAUUUUUGCAAAUAAAUUACUAUACUAUAUUCCACAAAUGUGAGAUGAAAGAUGUUUUGUCAUGCUGUUUGAUUAUUGAAAACCCACAGAACGUAAGAAAAAUAUCCCAUGAUGGACAGAAAUACAAAUGGAAAAAAUACCAUUUUUGAAAGGUUUUCUCACAAAUCAUAAUGAAUUUGUACUAGGCAAAAUGAUGUCUGCUGUGUCAAAUCAGAAGGUUAAAAUCUGAAAUUAAACAGAUGCAUAUGGGAAUUAAAUUAGUCAGGAGCUUCAAAACAUUAUUUCUUUACAAGGAAAAUUUACAAAUGAGAAAGGACUUUGUGUUAUCGGAAAAAAACCCAGAUAUGAUAUUCCUUUCAUCAACCCUUCAUUUUAUACAGAAAAAGAUACUGCUGGAAGACAAAAUGUAUUAAUGAAUACCAGUUUAUCCAGACAAAUGUAGCCAUAUUUGUGUGCAACUUAAACUGAUCCCCGUGUCAUAUUCUGUAAAGACUCAAAUGUGUGUUGCUUCACUGGUUUAAUUCCCAUUGAUUGCAAUGGGUAGUACUCACAGACAUUAUUUAUGAUCUCUUAGAGUACUAUUAUUAUUAAUAGUAAUACUUUGCACUUACAUGGCACCUUUUGCCUGAGCAUUUCAAAGUGCUUUGCAACCAUUAACUAAUUAAGCCUUGCAAUGCCUUAUGAGGAAAGUAUAUUAUUUAUACCCAUCAGGUACAUCAGCUUCCAGUUCAGAAAUAUACAUGAAGAUGAGCUCUGCAUAGCUCAAAAGCUUGUCUCUUUCACCAACAGAAGUUGGUCCAAUAAAAGAUAUUACCUCA
Mauremys mutica (yellowpond turtle) is the source of this 1697-nucleotide long non-coding RNA. RefSeq lists it as uncharacterized. NCBI's taxonomy places the organism in Eukaryota, Metazoa, Chordata, Testudines, Geoemydidae. The transcript has 7 exons. The record is from RefSeq and is a predicted model, not a curated record.